This 449-nucleotide ribosomal RNA is filed under the name uncultured bacterium. RNAcentral's name for it is "partial 16S ribosomal RNA". It matches the Rfam family "Bacterial small subunit ribosomal RNA", at positions 29 to 523 of the family's 1533-position model. The record is from RNAcentral.
AAUGAACGCUGGCGGCAGGCCUAACACAUGCAAGUCGAACGGAUCCUUCGGGAUCAGUGGCGGACGGGUGAGUAACGCGUGGGAACAUACCCUUUGGUACGGAAUAGCCUCGGGAAACUGGGAGUAAUACCGUAUGUGGUCGAGAGACGAAAGAUUUAUCGCCAAAGGUUUGGCCCGCGUUGGAUUAGGAAGUUGGUGGGGUAAGGGCCUACCACGCGGACGUCCCAUAGCUGGUUUGAGAGGAUGAUCAGCCACACUGGGACUGAGACACGGCCCAGACUCCUACGGGAGGCAGCAGUGGGGAAUCUUAGACAAUGGGGGAAACCCUGAUCUAGCCAUGCCGCGUGAUCGAUGAAGGCCUUAGGGUUGUAAAGAUCUUUCAGGUGGGAAGAUAAUGACUGUACCACCAGAAGAAGCCCCGGCUAACUCCGUGCCAGCCGCCGCGGUAA